CCUACGGGUGGCAGCAGUGGGGGAUAUUGCACAAUGGGGGAAACCCUGAUGCCGCGACGCCGCGUGGGCGCAGAAGUAUUUCGGUAUGUAAAGCCCUAUCAGCAGGGAAGAAGAAAUGACGGUACCUGAUUAAGAAGCACCGGCUAACUACGUGCCAGCAGCCGCGGUAAUACGUAGGGGGCAAGCAUUAUCCGGCGUUACUGGGUGUAAAGGGAGCGCAGGCGGCCCGUCAAGCCAGAUGUGAAAGCCCGCGGCCCAACCGCGGGACUGCAUUGGUAAAUGCCGGGCUGGAGUGCCGGAGAGGUAGGCGGAAGUCCUAGUGGAGCGGUGAAAUGCGUAGAUAUUAGGAGGAACACCAGUGGCGAAGGCGGCCGACUGGACGGUGACUGACGCUGAGGCUCGAAAGCGUGGGGAGCAAACAGGAUUAGAUACCCGAGUAGUC
This 442-nucleotide ribosomal RNA is filed under the name uncultured bacterium. RNAcentral's name for it is "partial 16S ribosomal RNA". It matches the Rfam family "Bacterial small subunit ribosomal RNA", at positions 338 to 795 of the family's 1533-position model. The record is from RNAcentral.